GUUUCUAUUUUUCUAACACAGACAUUUCACUUGCCAGAUAACUGCAUCAGGCACACUCUUGUUGUUAUUCGUUGGAGAUGUUCGUCUCGUUGCAAAUGAAUGUAGGGAUGAGCUGAACCAUUUAAAUGCCUACAUACAAGGAGGGGAAAUGGGGGAGGGAGUUAAAAGGUGCGGGAAUCGAACGCUCACCAACAAGGUGAAUGUUGAAGAAGUUAACCAAUUGAGUUAUUAAGAUUUCUCCGUGUGCUUAUGACCAACAAUUGCUUGAUAUUGACAUAUUCUUGGACUUGUUUUUUAGGCUUUUAAAUGCUGGAACAUAUGUAUCUAGUACAACCUUUCAAAUUUGUGAGUUUGCCCUCUUUUGUAGCUA
Solanum dulcamara is the source of this 370-nucleotide long non-coding RNA. RefSeq lists it as uncharacterized. The record is from RefSeq and is a predicted model, not a curated record. NCBI's taxonomy places the organism in Eukaryota, Viridiplantae, Streptophyta, Magnoliopsida, Solanales, Solanaceae. The transcript has 2 exons.